GCAGGUGUGGUGAAAUUGGUAGACAUGCCAGACUUAGGAUCUAAUGCCGCGAGGUGUGUGAGUUCGAGUCUCGCCGCCUGUA
Molecule: transfer RNA, 82 nt
Filed under: Psychroflexus aurantiacus
Lineage: Bacteria; Pseudomonadati; Bacteroidota; Flavobacteriia; Flavobacteriales; Flavobacteriaceae
Description: Psychroflexus sp. YR1-1 tRNA-Leu
Rfam family: tRNA
About the family: Transfer RNA (tRNA) molecules are approximately 80 nucleotides in length. Their secondary structure includes four short double-helical elements and three loops (D, anti-codon, and T loops). Further hydrogen bonds mediate the characteristic L-shaped molecular structure. tRNAs have two regions of fundamental functional importance: the anti-codon, which is responsible for specific mRNA codon recognition, and the 3' end, to which the tRNAs corresponding amino acid is attached (by aminoacyl-tRNA synthetases). tRNAs cope with the degeneracy of the genetic code in two manners: having more than one tRNA (with a specific anti-codon) for a particular amino acid; and 'wobble' base-pairing, i.e. permitting non-standard base-pairing at the 3rd anti-codon position.
Source: RNAcentral